This is a long non-coding RNA of Sinocyclocheilus rhinocerous, 93 nucleotides long. RefSeq lists it as uncharacterized. NCBI's taxonomy places the organism in Eukaryota, Metazoa, Chordata, Actinopteri, Cypriniformes, Cyprinidae. The record is from RefSeq and is a predicted model, not a curated record. The transcript has 3 exons.
CACGCGGUUCAGUUGAGGUUUGCCGGUCAGGCUGGGGUUGUCGGUACUGGGCGGCACUGACAGACUGUGAGGCAGUGGCGUCGCUCGCCGGGG